RNAcentral lists this ribosomal RNA (482 nucleotides) under uncultured bacterium. Its description in RNAcentral is "partial 16S ribosomal RNA". It matches the Rfam family "Bacterial small subunit ribosomal RNA", at positions 30 to 507 of the family's 1533-position model. The record is from RNAcentral.
AUUGAACGCUGGCGGCAUGCCUUACACAUGCAAGUCGAACGGUAACAGGUCUUCGGAUGCUGACGAGUGGCGAACGGGUGAGUAAUACAUCGGAACGUGCCUAGUAGUGGGGGAUAACUACUCGAAAGAGUGGCUAAUACCGCAUGAGAUCUACGGAUGAAAGCAGGGGAUCGCAAGACCUUGUGCUACUAGAGCGGCCGAUGGCAGAUUAGGUAGUUGGUGGGAUAAAAGCUUACCGAGCCGACGAUCUGUAGCUGGUCUGAGAGGACGAUCAGCCACACUGGGACUGAGACACGGCCCAGACUCCUACGGGAGGCAGCAGUGGGGAAUUUUGGACAAUGGGCGCAAGCCUGAUCCAGCAAUGCCGCGUGCAGGAUGAAGGCCUUCGGGUUGUAAACUGCUUUUGUACGGAACGAAAAGCCCUGGGUUAAUACCCUGGGGUCAUGACGGUACCGUAAGAAUAAGCACCGGCUAACUACGUG